RNAcentral lists this long non-coding RNA (209 nucleotides) under Salvator merianae (Argentine black and white tegu). RNAcentral describes it as "lncRNA (ENSSMRG00000022257.1)". Lineage: Eukaryota; Metazoa; Chordata; Lepidosauria; Squamata; Teiidae. The record is from RNAcentral.
CAUGCUUUUUUUUUGCUUUUUUUUUUUUUAGGUUCAGAGGUUUGAAGAGGGUUCAGAAGUAACUGCUGGGAAGAGGGCAAGUUCUGGUACUCUCUUCCAUUUAUCGGCAACCUAAUCGGAUGGGCUGCGCAGAGGUCAUGGAGUCUGGAAUUAAUUAAUCCAGGGACGACGGCUUCAGCGCCUGCCCGCAUACACACGGAAUCCGCCAC